GCCACGUUGCGCAUCUGGGAUGCGAGCCGGUUGUCGACCGGUCGAGACGGGUUCGAUUCCCGUACGUGGCGCCA
Molecule: transfer RNA, 74 nt
Filed under: Myxococcales bacterium
Lineage: Bacteria; Pseudomonadati; Myxococcota; Myxococcia; Myxococcales
Description: tRNA-Asp
Rfam family: tRNA
About the family: Transfer RNA (tRNA) molecules are approximately 80 nucleotides in length. Their secondary structure includes four short double-helical elements and three loops (D, anti-codon, and T loops). Further hydrogen bonds mediate the characteristic L-shaped molecular structure. tRNAs have two regions of fundamental functional importance: the anti-codon, which is responsible for specific mRNA codon recognition, and the 3' end, to which the tRNAs corresponding amino acid is attached (by aminoacyl-tRNA synthetases). tRNAs cope with the degeneracy of the genetic code in two manners: having more than one tRNA (with a specific anti-codon) for a particular amino acid; and 'wobble' base-pairing, i.e. permitting non-standard base-pairing at the 3rd anti-codon position.
Source: RNAcentral